UACGAAGGGGGCUAGCGUUGUUCGGAAUCACUGGGCGUAAAGCGUACGUAGGCGGAUACUUAAGUCAGAGGUGAAAGCCUGGAGCUCAACUCCAGAACUGCCUUUGAUACUGGGUGUCUUGAGUCCGGGAGAGGUGAGUGGAACUGCUAGUGUAGAGGUGAAAUUCGUAGAUAUUAGCAAGAACACCAGUGGCGAAGGCGGCUCACUGGCCCGGUACUGACGCUGAGGUACGAAAGCGUGGGGAGCAAACAGG
This 253-nucleotide ribosomal RNA is filed under the name uncultured bacterium. Its description in RNAcentral is "partial 16S ribosomal RNA". It matches the Rfam family "Bacterial small subunit ribosomal RNA", at positions 524 to 776 of the family's 1533-position model. The record is from RNAcentral.